This 484-nucleotide ribosomal RNA is filed under the name uncultured bacterium. RNAcentral describes it as "partial 16S ribosomal RNA". It matches the Rfam family "Bacterial small subunit ribosomal RNA", at positions 30 to 507 of the family's 1533-position model. The record is from RNAcentral.
AUUGAACGCUGGCGGCAGGCCUAACACAUGCAAGUCGAGCGGAUGAAGGGAGCUUGCUCCUGGAUUCAGCGGCGGACGGGUGAGUAAUGCCUAGGAAUCUGCCUGGUAGUGGGGGAUAACGUCCGGAAACGGGCGCUAAUACCGCAUACGUCCUGAGGGAUAAAGUGGGGGAUCUUCGGACCUCACGCUAUCAGAUGAGCCUAGGUCGGAUUAGCUAGUUGGUGGGGUAAAGGCCUACCAAGGCGACGAUCCGUACCUGGUCUGAGAGGAUGAUCAGUCACACUGGAACUGAGACACGGUCCAGACUCCUACGGGAGGCAGCAGUGGGGAAUAUUGGACAAUGGGCGAAAGCCUGAUCCAGCCAUGCCGCGUGUGUGAAGAAGGUCUUCGGAUUGUAAAGCACUUUAAGUUGGGAGGAAGGGCAGUAAGUUAAUACCUUGCUGUUUUGACGUUACCAACAGAAUAAGCACCGGCUAACUUCGUG